Molecule: long non-coding RNA, 333 nt
Filed under: Ananas comosus (pineapple)
Lineage: Eukaryota; Viridiplantae; Streptophyta; Magnoliopsida; Poales; Bromeliaceae
Description: long non-coding RNA (ACOM_LNC005390)
Source: RNAcentral
GUCACGCCCCGGGACCCGGCAUAGGCCUGCCCGGUGCGCGCCCAGACCCGCCAUAUGUCUACACAUAUAAGGCGUCUACACAAAAGCGGAAGAGUAAAGCAAGAGAAAAUCUACAACUAGAGAUAUCAGAGCAAGUAUAUAGCUAGGUUCUAUCAACAAGCGGAAAUAAAAAGGAAAGAAAAAGAGACUAAACCACUAGAACAUAAAGAAACUAAUACAUCAUAAGUCUCCAGAUACAAACGUAGGGUGGUCUCUAUAAUAAGGUACAAAACUCUCACAACCUCUCCAACAGAAAACAAAAGAGAGGUGGACCACCUAUCGCCAAAUCCCUCG